RNAcentral lists this ribosomal RNA (203 nucleotides) under Chaetoceros brevis. Its description in RNAcentral is "partial Bacterial small subunit ribosomal RNA". It matches the Rfam family "Bacterial small subunit ribosomal RNA", at positions 213 to 415 of the family's 1533-position model. Lineage: Eukaryota; Bacillariophyta; Thalassiosirophyceae; Chaetocerotales; Chaetocerotaceae. The record is from RNAcentral.
AUCUGCUGAAAGAUAUUUUUGCGUAAGAUUAGGUAGUUGGUAAAUUAAAAGUUUACCAAGCCUUUGAUCUUUAGUUGGUUUGAGAGGAUGGCCAACCACACUGGAACUGAGACAAGGUCCAGGCUAAUUUUUUAGCCAGCAGUGAGGAAUAUUGGACAAUGAACGAAAGUUUGAUCCAGCAAUACUACAUGAAUGAUAUAAAA